Molecule: ribosomal RNA, 253 nt
Filed under: uncultured bacterium
Lineage: Bacteria
Description: partial 16S ribosomal RNA
Rfam family: Bacterial small subunit ribosomal RNA
Source: RNAcentral
UACAGAGGGUGCGAGCGUUGUCCGGAAUCACUGGGCGUAAAGGGCGCGUAGGUGGCACGACAAGUCAGUGGUGAAAGCUCGACGCUCAACGUCGAGUCGGCCACUGAUACUGUUGAGCUAGAGCACUGUAGAGGCUAAUGGAAUUCCGGGUGUAGCGGUGGAAUGCGUAGAGAUCCGGAAGAACACCGGUGGCGAAGGCGAUUAGCUGGGCAGUUGCUGACACUGAGGCGCGACAGCGUGGGGAGCAAACAGG